This 70-nucleotide transfer RNA is filed under the name Argentina striata (striated argentine). RNAcentral describes it as "tRNA-Trp". It matches the Rfam family "tRNA". From Rfam's summary of the family: Transfer RNA (tRNA) molecules are approximately 80 nucleotides in length. Their secondary structure includes four short double-helical elements and three loops (D, anti-codon, and T loops). The record is from RNAcentral. Lineage: Eukaryota; Metazoa; Chordata; Actinopteri; Argentiniformes; Argentinidae.
AGAGGCUUAGGAUAAAUUAAACCAAGAGCCUUCAAAGCUCUAAACGGGGGUGGAAAUCCCCCAGCCCCUG